Molecule: ribosomal RNA, 726 nt
Filed under: uncultured beta proteobacterium
Lineage: Bacteria; Pseudomonadati; Pseudomonadota; Betaproteobacteria
Description: bacterial SSU rRNA
Rfam family: Bacterial small subunit ribosomal RNA
Source: RNAcentral
GGAUUAGAUACCCUGGUAGUCCACGCCCUAAACGAUGUCAACUGGUUGUUGGGUGGGUAACCACUUAGUAACGAAGCUAACGCGUGAAGUUGACCGCCUGGGGAGUACGGUCGCAAGAUUAAAACUCAAAGGAAUUGACGGGGACCCGCACAAGCGGUGGAUGAUGUGGUUUAAUUCGAUGCAACGCGAAAAACCUUACCUACACUUGACAUGCCAGAAAUCCCGCAGAGAUGUGGGAGUGCCGCAAGGAAUCUGGGCACAGGUGCUGCAUGGCUGUCGUCAGCUCGUGUCGUGAGAUGUUGGGUUAAGUCCCGCAACGAGCGCAACCCUUGUCACUAGUUGCUACAUUUAGUUGGGCACUCUAGUGAGACUGCCGGUGACAAACCGGAGGAAGGUGGGGAUGACGUCAAGUCCUCAUGGCCCUUAUGUGUAGGGCUACACACGUCAUACAAUGGUCGGUACAGAGGGUUGCCAACCCGCGAGGGGGAGCUAAUCUCACAAAGCCGAUCGUAGUCCGGAUCGCAGUCUGCAACUCGACUGCGUGAAGUCGGAAUCGCUAGUAAUCGUGGAUCAGCAUGUCACGGUGAAUACGUUCCCGGGUCUUGUACACACCGCCCGUCACACCAUGGGAGUGGAAUCCGCCAGAAGUAGGUAGCCUAACCGCAAGGGGGGCGCUUACCACGGUAGGUUUCAUGACUGGGGUGAAGUCGUAACAAGGUAACCGUA